This 253-nucleotide ribosomal RNA is filed under the name uncultured bacterium. RNAcentral's name for it is "partial 16S ribosomal RNA". It matches the Rfam family "Bacterial small subunit ribosomal RNA", at positions 524 to 776 of the family's 1533-position model. The record is from RNAcentral.
UACGUAGGGUGCAAGCGUUGUCCGGAAUUAUUGGGCGUAAAGAGCUCGUAGGCGGUCUGUCGCGUCGGAUGUGAAAGUCCAGGGCUCAACCCUGGACCUGCAUUCGAUACGGGCAGACUAGAGUUCGGUAGGGGAGACUGGAAUUCCUGGUGUAGCGGUGAAAUGCGCAGAUAUCAGGAGGAACACCGGUGGCGAAGGCGGGUCUCUGGGCCGAAACUGACGCUGAGGAGCGAAAGCGUGGGGAGCAAACAGG